Molecule: ribosomal RNA, 447 nt
Filed under: uncultured bacterium
Lineage: Bacteria
Description: bacterial SSU rRNA
Rfam family: Bacterial small subunit ribosomal RNA
Source: RNAcentral
UGGGGAAUAUUGGACAAUGGGGGCAACCCUGAUCCAGCAAUGCCGCGUGAGUGAAGAAGGUCUUCGGAUUGUAAAGCUCUUUCACGGGUGAAGAUAAUGACGGUAACCCGAGAAGAAGCCCCGGCUAACUUCGUGCCAGCAGCCGCGGUAAUACGAAGGGGGCUAGCGUUGUUCGGAAUUACUGGGCGUAAAGGGCGCGUAGGCGGUUUAUCAAGUUAGGUGUGAAAGCCCUGGGCUCAACCCAGGAACUGCAUUUAAGACUGAUAGGCUAGAGAUCUAGAGGGGAUAGUGGAAUUCCAAGUGUAGAGGUGAAAUUCGUAGAUAUUUGGAGGAACACCAGUGGCGAAGGCGACUGUCUGGCUAGAAUCUGACGCUGAGGCGCGAUAGCGUGGGGAGCAAACAGGAUUAGAUACCCGAGUAGUCCCUGAGCGGGCUGGCAAGGCGCAU